RNAcentral lists this transfer RNA (75 nucleotides) under Bacillota bacterium. RNAcentral describes it as "tRNA-Gln". It matches the Rfam family "tRNA". From Rfam's summary of the family: Transfer RNA (tRNA) molecules are approximately 80 nucleotides in length. Their secondary structure includes four short double-helical elements and three loops (D, anti-codon, and T loops). The record is from RNAcentral. Lineage: Bacteria; Bacillati; Bacillota.
UGCCGGGUGGCCAAAUGGUAAGGCAUCUGUCUCUGGAUCAGAGGACUGUAGGUUCGAGUCCUACCCCGGCAGCCA